GCUGAAUUUAAGCAUAUAAAUAAGCGGAGGAAAAGAAACUAACCAGGAUUCCCUCAGUAACUGCGAGUGAAGCGGGAACAGCUCAAAUUUGAAAUCUGGGGGUGUAACAGCCCUCCGAAUUGUAGUUUUGUGAGCGGCUCCACGGGCAGGUGCCUCUGGUACAAGUCCCUUGGAACAGGGCACCAGAGAGGGUGACAGUCCCGUACAUGACCAGAGUGCGAAAGACACCUGUCAACACGUGUUGCCGUUUCCACGAGUCGGGUACUUUGGGAGUAGUGCCCAAAAUGGGUGGUACGUUCCACCUAAAGCUAAAUACGGGUGCGAGACCGAUAGCGAACAAGUACUGUGAAGGAAAGAUGCAAAGAACUUUGAAAAGAGAGUCAAACAGUCCUUGAAAUUGU
This 401-nucleotide ribosomal RNA is filed under the name Enterococcus faecium. RNAcentral's name for it is "partial 23S ribosomal RNA". It matches the Rfam family "Eukaryotic large subunit ribosomal RNA", at positions 27 to 408 of the family's 3401-position model. Lineage: Bacteria; Bacillati; Bacillota; Bacilli; Lactobacillales; Enterococcaceae. The record is from RNAcentral.